CCUCAUCCAACCAAUGUGGAUGAGCAACGCGAACAAAUCCUCUUAUAAGAGAUUUGCCACGCCGCCGCUCACCACACUGGCUUUCAGAAGGUGCCAGGAAUCAGAAGACGAG
This 112-nucleotide microRNA precursor is filed under the name Caenorhabditis briggsae. RNAcentral's name for it is "microRNA cbr-mir-356 precursor". Its record names the gene cbr-mir-356. The record is from miRBase by way of RNAcentral. Lineage: Eukaryota; Metazoa; Nematoda; Chromadorea; Rhabditida; Rhabditidae.